RNAcentral lists this ribosomal RNA (591 nucleotides) under Streptomyces sp. SM-10. RNAcentral's name for it is "bacterial SSU rRNA". It matches the Rfam family "Bacterial small subunit ribosomal RNA", at positions 272 to 873 of the family's 1533-position model. The record is from RNAcentral. Lineage: Bacteria; Bacillati; Actinomycetota; Actinomycetes; Kitasatosporales; Streptomycetaceae.
GGCGACGACGGGUAGCCGGCCUGAGAGGGCGACCGGCCACACUGGGACUGAGACACGGCCCAGACUCCUACGGGAGGCAGCAGUGGGGAAUAUUGCACAAUGGGCGAAAGCCUGAUGCAGCGACGCCGCGUGAGGGAUGACGGCCUUCGGGUUGUAAACCUCUUUCAGCAGGGAAGAAGCGAAAGUGACGGUACCUGCAGAAGAAGCGCCGGCUAACUACGUGCCAGCAGCCGCGGUAAUACGUAGGGCGCAAGCGUUGUCCGGAAUUAUUGGGCGUAAAGAGCUCGUAGGCGGCUUGUCACGUCGGAUGUGAAAGCCCGGGGCUUAACCCCGGGUCUGCAUUCGAUACGGGCUAGCUAGAGUGUGGUAGGGGAGAUCGGAAUUCCUGGUGUAGCGGUGAAAUGCGCAGAUAUCAGGAGGAACACCGGUGGCGAAGGCGGAUCUCUGGGCCAUUACUGACGCUGAGGAGCGAAAGCGUGGGGAGCGAACAGGAUUAGAUACCCUGGUAGUCCACGCCGUAAACGUUGGGAACUAGGUGUUGGCGACAUUCCACGUCGUCGGUGCCGCAGCUAACGCAUUAAGUUCCCCGCC